RNAcentral lists this long non-coding RNA (1124 nucleotides) under Brassica napus (rape). Its description in RNAcentral is "long non-coding RNA (BNAP_LNC015173)". Lineage: Eukaryota; Viridiplantae; Streptophyta; Magnoliopsida; Brassicales; Brassicaceae. The record is from RNAcentral.
AUAAUUUGAAUGAAUGAUAUUAAUCCAACAAACUGAUGUGAUUAAGAGCACUAAUUGUCUGGUAUCUUAAGGUAGAUCUCACUAAAAGUAAAAAAAGGUUAGGGUAAAUGCAUUUUCAAUAGUUCUAGGAAAAAUGCAUUUUCAAAAAUUGACCCCAAUGACCUCUUUAAAAGAUAAUAUAUCAUGAUUUUGGGUUACACAUUCGUCGAAUCUCUCGUGCCAGUUGGCUUUCAUGCACAAAACGUAUUUUCGUCCUGGCUUUCAUGCACAACAAUUUAUUUUCCUCCUUUUCUACUCUUUGCAAUUUUACGACUGUUUUAUCUAUACUAUUAAAGCAGGAUCCUAUUGUCCUUUUUACCUUGGUUCAAGGCAUGGUUUAUUGCAAGUCUUGCAAGUACUCCGGCAUUAAUACGCUCCUAGAAGCAUCUCCUCUUCAAGGUUGUUACAUUAUAAUCUCUGGUCUCUUUUAAUUUUUCUAAUUAUUUUAGUCUCGUAGAUCUAUAACUUUAUAAGUUAAUUUUCACAUGAGCUGGAUUGACCUUGUCUUCGUUUUUUUUUCAUCGUUGCAUGUUUAGGAGGUUUACUUCCAUGACAUAAUCUUCACAAUGCAUGCAUUAGGUUCUCGCAAAAAAUACAUCACAUCAAACUUUAUGGCUGCAAAAUUUUUGGAUUAAUUAACUUUUGUUCAAAGAGAUUAGUCUGAUGAAUUUAGUUUAAAGACUCGUUUACUUACCAUGCAUGCAUUGUUAGGCUGAUUUUCCCAUGAAAUAAUUUGAAUGAAUGAUAUUAAUCCAACAAACUGAUGUGAUUAAGAGCACUAAUUGUCUGGUAUCUUAAGGUAGAUCUCACUAAAAGUAAAAAAAGGUUAGGGUAAAUGCAUUUUCAAUAGUUCUAGGAAAAAUGCAUUUUCAAAAAUUGACCCCAAUGACCUCUUUAAAAGAUAAUAUAUCAUGAUUUUGGGUUACACAUUCGUCGAAUCUCUCGUGCCAGUUGGCUUUCAUGCACAAAACGUAUUUUCGUCCUGGCUUUCAUGCACAACAAUUUAUUUUCCUCCUUUUCUACUCUUUGCAAUUUUACGACUGUUUUAUCUAUACUAUUAAAGCAGGAUCCUAUUGUCCUUUUUA